AGUCCUUCAGCGGCUCUUCAAGACGGCCUCCAUAUUUAAAUGCAACUGGCUGUUUAAUUAAAAGCAGGUGCAGUAAUUCAAGUGCACAGUACAUUGGAACAAAUGCAAAGUAAAACCCUAGGAGUUCAUUUUGUUUUAUUUUAUUUUAUUAAAAACCUUUCUACUGGGUGUCUGAAAAUAAAAAGGAGCCACGGAGGCCUUCGGCGGCUCUUCAAGACGGUCUCCAUAUUUAAAUGCAACUGGCUGCUUAAUUAAAAGCAGGUGCGCUUAUUCAAGUGCACAGUAAAUCGGAACAAAUGCAAAGUAAAACCCUAGGAGUUUAUUUUUGUUUUAUUUUAUUUUAUUAAAAACCUUUCCACUGGGUGCCUGGAAGAAAAAGGGAGCCCGCGAGUCUAUCAGCGGCGUUUUAACCGUGUCGCCAUGUUUCAAGGCGGCGGACAUGCAACUGGCUGCUUAAUUCAAAGCAGGUGCAGUUAUUCAACUGGGAAUUAAUUCUUAAUUUUAACACGAAUAGCUAUAAACAGGUAAUCACUCCCUCCCCAGGUACGAGCGUUUGUUUAGCCAGUGUUCCCAAAAACCAACUUAAUUCAGAAAAGGGACUUACGGUUAGACGAGCAAAACCGCCACCAAAAACGGGUCUCUGCAGCCACGAGGCUCGGAGAGAAGCCGGAAGUGGUUUUUUUUUUUUUGCUCGGAGAGAAGCCGGAAGUGGCUUUUUUGCCUGGUCACGUGGUCGAAGCCGAUUGGCUGAGUUUUGCAAGCUCUGCUUUGCUUUUGCUUUGCGGAAGACCUGCUGCUUGCUGGGUUUGAGGACUAGAAACCUGGAAUGACUUCUAGGAAAAACACAAAACCAACCACCAGGAGAAGUCAGAGACAGAUGCUUCAGCUACGGGAUACGGAAGACGGGGCCAAGGGCAGAAGUACCUUCGCACACGAUGCUGUGUUGACAGGGGAAGAAAAGGACCAGCAGCGCCAGUUCCGAGCAAACCAGGCACUCCGAGGGGGCCGCCACUUUUGGCACGCUGAGGGCUGCGUGGUGCAACAGGUUGAACCCUUGUUGAUUCUGGAUGGUAAAAUCGAUGCCAGGGACCUCAGUGAGGGCUUCGAUGAUGCAUUUGAAGUCGGCAUUGAUGGCGUAGUGAAGGGGGGUCUCUCCC
Molecule: long non-coding RNA, 1157 nt
Organism: Crotalus tigris (Tiger rattlesnake)
Lineage: Eukaryota; Metazoa; Chordata; Lepidosauria; Squamata; Viperidae
Exons: 3
Source: RefSeq, a predicted model, not a curated record